Molecule: non-coding RNA, 565 nt
Filed under: Pan troglodytes (chimpanzee)
Lineage: Eukaryota; Metazoa; Chordata; Mammalia; Primates; Hominidae
Source: RNAcentral
CACAGUGACUCGGCCUCCAUCAUGCCAACAGGGUGGGCGGAUGCGCAGGCCACAGAGUCCCUGGUUGGUGAGGAAGCUGCCAAUCCUGGUCAUCUCUUGGAGCCGGGCGGGGGUCAGAGUGUGGCUGGAGCACGAUUCACAGCCUCCCAAAGGUGGAAAGCACCAAGCAGGGGCCCAUUAGGGCAAACAGAUGAGCACAACGUGGUCUGUCCAUGCAACAGGCACUACUCAGCAGUGAAAAGCCAGGAGGCACUGACACGCUGCAGCUGGGAUGGACCUUGAAGAUGUGACGCAACGUUAAAGAAGCCAGGCAGAAAAGGCCCAUUGCUGUGAAACGUCUGGAACAGGCAAAUCUACAGAGACAGAGCGUGGAUUUGUGGUUGCCUGGGGCCGGGGAGGAGGGGGAGACAAAGUGACUGCUCAUGGGCACGGGGUUUCCUUUUGGGGGUGAAGACGAUGUGACUGUCAACACCGAGCAUGCUAAGACCCACUGGACUGUACACCGUAAGUGAAUGAAUUACACAGUGUGGAAAUCACAUCUCAAUAGAGCUACUGAACAGCACAG